CACGUAGGGCGCAAGCGUUGUCCGGAAUUAUUGGGCGUAAAGAGCUCGUAGGCGGCCUGUUACGUCUGCUGUGAAAACCCUGGGCUUAACCCUGGGCUUGCAGUGGAUACGGGCAGACUAGAGGCAGGUAGGGGAGAAUGGAAUUCCCGGUGUAGCGGUGAAAUGCGCAGAUAUCGGGAGGAACACCGGUGGCGAAGGCGGUUCUCUGGGCCUGACCUGACGCUGAGGAGCGAAAGCGUGGGGAGCGAACAGG
RNAcentral lists this ribosomal RNA (253 nucleotides) under uncultured bacterium. RNAcentral's name for it is "partial 16S ribosomal RNA". It matches the Rfam family "Bacterial small subunit ribosomal RNA", at positions 524 to 776 of the family's 1533-position model. The record is from RNAcentral.